Molecule: long non-coding RNA, 398 nt
Organism: Trichosurus vulpecula (common brushtail)
Lineage: Eukaryota; Metazoa; Chordata; Mammalia; Diprotodontia; Phalangeridae
Exons: 2
Source: RefSeq, a predicted model, not a curated record
GAUAUCAGGAGGGUGAUGUGGUGAACUGGAUUUAAGUGAGGCAGAGCUGCAAAAAGUCACGGACCUCACUGUCUUCUCCAGAGUCAUGGAAGUCCAGAGCCUGUGUUUUCUGUUGGCCUGGAACGAUGCCACCAGGGCUACAAGAUGAAACAAGAAUGGAAGACCUGCUUCUUGUAGGGUGUAGCAGCUUUCUCUUCUUCAGGCCCAGCCCAUCAGACUAAUAAUGACUCUAGGGAGGGGAGAAAAAUGCCAGGAGCUUUGUUCAUUUCAAAGUCUUAGCCUAAGGAGGAAAACAACAGGAAGACAAGAUACCCUUUAGGCCAAGGGUAUGUGGGAAAACACAUGUACUGUACUUGUAUUCUGGGACUGGAGCAAUGAAUAAAAUCACUUUUUAUUUC